GACGAACGCUGGCGGCGUGCUUAACACAUGCAAGUCGAGCGGUAAGGCCCUUCGGGUACGACGAGCGGCGAACGGGUGAGUAACACGUGGGUGACCUGCCUCUAGCUCUGGGAUAAGCCUGGGAAACUGGGUCUAAUACCGGAUAUGACUCCACGGCGCAUGUUGUGGGGUGGAAAGCCUUGUGUGGCUAGAGAUGGGCCCGCGGCCUAUCAGCUUGUUGGUGGGGUGAUGGCCUACCAAGGCGACGACGGGUAGCCGGCCUGAGAGGGCGACCGGCCACACUGGGACUGAGACACGGCCCAGACUCCUACGGGAGGCAGCAGUGGGGAAUCUUGCGCAAUGGGCGAAAGCCUGACGCAGCGACGCCGCGUGAGGGAUGACGGCCUCGGUGUAA
This 394-nucleotide ribosomal RNA is filed under the name uncultured bacterium. RNAcentral's name for it is "bacterial SSU rRNA". It matches the Rfam family "Bacterial small subunit ribosomal RNA", at positions 28 to 428 of the family's 1533-position model. The record is from RNAcentral.